ACACAUACACACACUACACACACACACUACACACACACUACACACAUACAGUACACACACACUACACACACACACACACACACACACACACACACACACAUACAGUACACACACAGACACACUACACACACACACAGACACACUACACACACACACACACACACUACACACUACAAUUCUAGUCAGGAUACCAUAAACUGUUGAAUAGUUGUUUUUUAUCACCCAGACGGUUUGAAUUUGUCUUCUUUUUUAAAAAAUAAUUCCACCAAUCAAGUUAUUAACCAGAGCAACAAAAAAAAUGAAGAAAUAAAAAAUGAUCAAUGUGUCCCUUUAGCCUUUUGAUUGUGUCUUCAAUAACACUGUCAAAUUGUAACGUCAGUAGCAUAAUGUUCACUAUGGACACACAGCGACAAUAACAUCAGUUGUAUGUAACUACUAUGAGCCCAUAUGAUAGAGGAGAUAGUUACUGAUACAGGUCUGAAAGACCAAUGGAGACAAGACGGCAACAUACUGUACAAGAUGCCCAUCUUCAGAUAACUAUCUUCCUCAACCACAGAAAAGCUGGUUCAGUCUCAUUCCAGGUGAUCCGUCACCUCUAGAGGCGGCAGGGUAGCCUAGUGGUUAGAGUGGAGGGGCGGCAGGUAGCCUAGUGGUUAGAGUGUAGGGACGGCAGGUAGCCUAGUGGUUAGAGUGGAGGGGCGGCAGGGUAGCCUAGUGGUUAGAGUGGAGGGGCGGCAGGUAGCCUAGUGGUUAGAGUGGAGGGGCGGCAGGUAGCCUAGUGGUUAGAGUGGA
Long non-coding RNA from Oncorhynchus tshawytscha (Chinook salmon), 792 nucleotides. NCBI's taxonomy places the organism in Eukaryota, Metazoa, Chordata, Actinopteri, Salmoniformes, Salmonidae. The record is from Ensembl.